AUGAACGCUGGCGGCGUGCCUAAUACAUGCAAGUCGAGCGAACAGACGAGGAGCUUGCUCCUCUGACGUUAGCGGCGGACGGGUGAGUAACACGUGGAUAACCUACCUAUAAGACUGGGAUAACUUCGGGAAACCGGAGCUAAUACCGGAUAAUAUAUUGAACCGCAUGGUUCAAUAGUGAAAGACGAUUUUGCUGUCACUUAUAGAUGGAUCCGCGCCGCAUUAGCUAGUUGGUAAGGUAACGGCUUACCAAGGCAACGAUGCGUAGCCGACCUGAGAGGGUGAUCGGCCACACUGGAACUGAGACACGGUCCAGACUCCUACGGGAGGCAGCAGUAGGGAAUCUUCCGCAAUGGGCGAAAGCCUGACGGAGCAACGCCGCGUGAGUGAUGAAGGUCUUCGGAUCGUAAAACUCUGUUAUUAGGGAAGAACAAAUGUGUAAGUAACUAUGCACGUCUCGACGGUACCUAAUCAGAAAGCCACGGCUAACUACGUG
This 496-nucleotide ribosomal RNA is filed under the name uncultured bacterium. RNAcentral's name for it is "partial 16S ribosomal RNA". It matches the Rfam family "Bacterial small subunit ribosomal RNA", at positions 29 to 507 of the family's 1533-position model. The record is from RNAcentral.